GCUGACACAUCCCUGCCAAUCUCCGGCAGACCCUCCCUCCCAGACCCUCCUACUUCCUGGACAGCAUCCAUGUUGAAGGCAGCUUCAACAUGGAUGCUGUCCAGGAGGUGGGAGGGUCUGGGAGAGAGGGUCUGCCGGAGAUGGUCAGGGAUGUGUCAG
RNAcentral lists this microRNA precursor (159 nucleotides) under Pelobates cultripes (western spadefoot toad). Lineage: Eukaryota; Metazoa; Chordata; Amphibia; Anura; Pelobatidae. The record is from RNAcentral.